RNAcentral lists this ribosomal RNA (884 nucleotides) under uncultured bacterium. Its description in RNAcentral is "bacterial SSU rRNA". It matches the Rfam family "Bacterial small subunit ribosomal RNA", at positions 26 to 899 of the family's 1533-position model. The record is from RNAcentral.
AGAUUGAACGCUGGCGGCAGGCCUAACACAUGCAAGUCGAACGGUAGCACAGGGGAGCUUGCUCCCUGGGUGACGAGUGGCGGACGGGUGAGUAAUGUCUGGGAAACUGCCCGAUGGAGGGGGAUAACUACUGGAAACGGUAGCUAAUACCGCAUAACGUCGCAAGACCAAAGAGGGGGACCUUCGGGCCUCUUGCCAUCGGAUGUGCCCAGAUGGGAUUAGCUAGUAGGUGGGGUAACGGCUCACCUAGGCGACGAUCCCUAGCUGGUCUGAGAGGAUGACCAGCCACACUGGAACUGAGACACGGUCCAGACUCCUACGGGAGGCAGCAGUGGGGAAUAUUGCACAAUGGGCGCAAGCCUGAUGCAGCCAUGCCGCGUGUAUGAAGAAGGCCUUCGGGUUGUAAAGUACUUUCAGCGGGGAGGAAGGUGCUGUGGUUAAUAACCACAGCAAUUGACGUUACCCGCAGAAGAAGCACCGGCUAACUCCGUGCCAGCAGCCGCGGUAAUACGGAGGGUGCAAGCGUUAAUCGGAAUUACUGGGCGUAAAGCGCACGUAGGCGGUCUGUCAAGUCGGAUGUGAAAUCCCCGGGCUCAACCUGGGAACUGCAUCCGAAACUGGCAGGCUAGAGUCUUGUAGAGGGGGGUAGAAUUCCAGGUGUAGCGGUGAAAUGCGUAGAGAUCUGGAGGAAUACCGGUGGCGAAGGCGGCCCCCUGGACAAAGACUGACGCUCAGGUGCGAAAGCGUGGGGAGCAAACAGGGUUAGAUACCCUGGUAGUCCACGCCGUAAACGAUGUCGACUUGGAGGUUGUUCCCUUGAGGAGUGGCUUCCGGAGCUAACGCGUUAAGUCGACCGCCUGGGGAGUAUGGCCGCAAGGUUAAAA